AAAGGAGCAAAAAACCAUAACAAGCGCUCACAUGGUGUCAUCAUCUCAGCUAUCUUCCCACUGGAGAAAGAUGACAUACUCUACAUCCUAAUUGGUCACCAAGGAGAAGAUGCCUGUCCAGGAAGGAACCCCCUGACCCAUAAAAUCUGUCUUGGGGAGUCUUCUGUGAUAGAGGAUGGUUUUGACAGCGAUGGUUCGGCCUUGAAGUGGGCAGGGGGCGGAGGUGGUGGUGGGGGAGCCACAUACAUUUAUCGGAUGGAGAACGGGG
Sinocyclocheilus rhinocerous is the source of this 268-nucleotide long non-coding RNA. RefSeq lists it as uncharacterized. The transcript is spliced from 3 exons. The record is from RefSeq and is a predicted model, not a curated record. NCBI's taxonomy places the organism in Eukaryota, Metazoa, Chordata, Actinopteri, Cypriniformes, Cyprinidae.